CAGUAGCCGCGGUAAUACGUAUGUCGCAAGCGUUAUCCGGAAUUAUUGUGCAUAAAGGGCAUCUAGGCGGCCAGGCAAGUCUGGGGUGAAAACCUGCGGCUCAACCGCAGGCCUGCCCUGGAAACUGCGUGGCUAGAGUGCUGGAGAGGUGGACGGAACUGCACGAGUAGAGGUGAAAUUCGUAGAUAUGUGCAGGAAUGCCGAUGAUGAAGAUAGUUCACUGGACGGCAACUGACGCUGAAGUGCGAAAGCCGGGGGAGCGAACAGGAUUAGAUACCCCCGUAGUCCCUGUCUCUUAUAC
RNAcentral lists this ribosomal RNA (301 nucleotides) under uncultured bacterium. RNAcentral describes it as "partial 16S ribosomal RNA". It matches the Rfam family "Bacterial small subunit ribosomal RNA", at positions 509 to 807 of the family's 1533-position model. The record is from RNAcentral.